Long non-coding RNA from Chroicocephalus ridibundus (black-headed gull), 641 nucleotides. RefSeq lists it as uncharacterized. The transcript is spliced from 4 exons. The record is from RefSeq and is a predicted model, not a curated record. Lineage: Eukaryota; Metazoa; Chordata; Aves; Charadriiformes; Laridae.
GCUGCCCGCCGGUCCCGCGCCGCCGGGCAGGCCGUGGCCCAGCCGCCUUGGUCGUAUGGAAGCGGGACGCCCCCGCCCCCCAAAGCGGGGACAGGGCAGGAGGGGCCUGCGCUGCCGUGCGGCUCCCGCGGAACCGGGAUGUCAGACUGAGCUGCCGCCGCCCCAGUCUUCUUCCUCUGCACAGCUCCUGAGGUGGAAGUACCACAUGAAUGCUCUUUGGCAGUAAAGAUGUGAGAUGAGAAAUUCAUCCGCUGCGCUAGUGCAGGAUCUGGGUCUCAGCGCCAUAGACAAGGUGGUGGGGCAGGAUAAAGGUGCCAGUGCGGGAGCACGGGAUGGCAGCACACAGCCAGCAGCCUGGAGUGGCGCAGGGUCCAGAGUCCCCUGACCUGUGCAGAUUUGUCCAAGAAGAAUGUGUGUAGCCCUCCCAUCGUUUUCCGUGAGCUACCUCACACACUCUGAAAGGUCAGACUCACCGCAAACACACACAGAAAUGACCUGCAUCACAACACAAGCAUUUGCAACGAACACAGCUGAAGUUAAUGGCAGUCCUUGGGGAGACAUAAGCGCAGGAUAUGAAGCAGCGCGGAUGGAAAAGCUUUGGCUGAAUUGGUCAAUCUGCAGCAAAUGCGAGAACAGGACGG